This 603-nucleotide ribosomal RNA is filed under the name Bacillus licheniformis. Its description in RNAcentral is "bacterial SSU rRNA". It matches the Rfam family "Bacterial small subunit ribosomal RNA", at positions 557 to 1161 of the family's 1533-position model. Lineage: Bacteria; Bacillati; Bacillota; Bacilli; Caryophanales; Bacillaceae. The record is from RNAcentral.
GGCGUAAGCGCGCGCAGGCGGUUUCUUAAGUCUGAUGUGAAAGCCCCCGGCUCAACCGGGGAGGGUCAUUGGAAACUGGGGAACUUGAGUGCAGAAGAGGAGAGUGGAAUUCCACGUGUAGCGGUGAAAUGCGUAGAGAUGUGGAGGAACACCAGUGGCGAAGGCGACUCUCUGGUCUGUAACUGACGCUGAGGCGCGAAAGCGUGGGGAGCGAACAGGAUUAGAUACCCUGGUAGUCCACGCCGUAAACGAUGAGUGCUAAGUGUUAGAGGGUUUCCGCCCUUUAGUGCUGCAGCAAACGCAUUAAGCACUCCGCCUGGGGAGUACGGUCGCAAGACUGAAACUCAAAGGAAUUGACGGGGGCCCGCACAAGCGGUGGAGCAUGUGGUUUAAUUCGAAGCAACGCGAAGAACCUUACCAGGUCUUGACAUCCUCUGACAACCCUAGAGAUAGGGCUUCCCCUUCGGGGGCAGAGUGACAGGUGGUGCAUGGUUGUCGUCAGCUCGUGUCGUGAGAUGUUGGGUUAAGUCCCGCAACGAGCGCAACCCUUGAUCUUAGUUGCCAGCAUUCAGUUGGGCACUCUAAGGUGACUGCCGGUGACAA